Molecule: ribosomal RNA, 254 nt
Filed under: uncultured bacterium
Lineage: Bacteria
Description: partial 16S ribosomal RNA
Rfam family: Bacterial small subunit ribosomal RNA
Source: RNAcentral
GAUCCUGGCUCAGGAUGAACGCUGGCUACAGGCUUAACACAUGCAAGUCGUGGGGAAACGGCAUUAUGUGCUUGCACAUUCUGGACGUCGACCGGCGCACGGGUGAGUAUCGCGUAUCCAACCUGCCCCUUACUUGGGGAUACCCCGUUGAAAGACGGCCUAAUACCCGAUGUGUUUCAUUGACGGCAUCCGAUAUGAAACAAAGGUUUUUCCGGUAAGGGAUGGGGAUGCGUCUGAUUAGCUUGUUGGCGGGG